RNAcentral lists this ribosomal RNA (254 nucleotides) under uncultured bacterium. RNAcentral's name for it is "partial 16S ribosomal RNA". It matches the Rfam family "Bacterial small subunit ribosomal RNA", at positions 524 to 776 of the family's 1533-position model. The record is from RNAcentral.
UACGGGGGGAGCAAGCGUUGUUCGGAUUUACUGGGCGUAAAGGGCGCGUAGGCGGCCACCGCAAGUCGACUGUGAAAUCUCCGGGCUUAACCCGGAAAGGUCAGCCGAUACUGCGGGGCUAGAGUGCAGAAGGGGCAACUGGAAUUCUCGGUGUAGCGGUGAAAUGCUUAGAUAUGACAUAGAACACCAAUUGCGCAGGCAGCUUACUACACAGUAAUUGACACUGAGGCACGAAAGCGUGGGGAUCAAACAGG